AAGCCAGUUUCACAGGGACGUGGAGCUUCAAUUGCUUCUGUAUGGGAACUGUUGAAUCAUGGCCUGAACAAGCACUGAGUUAGCCCUGGGAACACAGGUGGAGACAACUCUGUGUGACCAGAAGGGGUAGAGCCUGCCUGCAUCUCUCCUGGACCCCAUUUAAGGGCUGAUUGCCCUUGGAGGAGCAUCUUUUUCUGGAGAUUGCUCCCUUUGGAGUUUUCCUGUGAGCUCAGGACAUAGCUCGAAGAAAUGCUUCAUGUAACAGACGUCCCGGUGCUGGACACCAUGCAAUGGAAUCACCAUCAGGGCUUCGACUGUGGAGUGCUCUACAUGCUCUACGCUUGCAGUGAAAAGACAGAUUAAGUAUUGGCACCAGGACUUCCAACUGAGCUCUGGAAAUACUGCUGUCCAGCUGGCUCUGACUCAUUUAGUCCUACAAAUAAAAGUGCUACAAAUCUAAAAUCUAAUUGACUGUGUUUCUAAUGCAGGUAUCAUAGAAUCAUAAACUAAUUGAGGACACCAUUCAACCACCCCUCCUGAAGCACAGUCAGUUAGAAAAGGUUGUGCAGGACUGAGUCAUUGGAUUUUGAAUAUGCCCAAGAACAAACUCCUCUUCUACCUGUCUCAUCUCUCAUCCUCUCACUCGGUACCAUUGAGAAGAGCCUGGCUGCAUCAUCUUUGCAUCAUCCCAUAAGGUUGGUUGGUUUGUUUAUUUUUUUUUCUAGUGACUAAGCAUCUAAUUUGAAUCAACUGUGGGAGAAGAGAGGAUUGAAGCUGGUAAACCUGCCUAAAGAAAUCUGUACAGAACAGAUGGAAUCUUUAACUUAUCUGCAGCGGCUCUGCUGGCUAGACUUGCACUAUUUGCUAAUGGUGUGUCCUAACCAGAAAUAUGCUGACAUCCAUCCACAGCUCCAAGACAACUUUCUGAAUGGCAGGGACUGGAUGCUGCUGGUACAUACCUGGCUGGCUGCAUGACAGUCUGAGGCCGUAGUAAGAUUUGUUCCUCAGAAUUGGGGAGGUCUACACACAUCUGUCCCAAGCAAAUACAUUUUCUCAGUGAGGCUUUCUCAGAAGCUCUUGAGGGAACAUAGUCAAGAUCUGGAAAUUCAACAGAGGCUUUUUCCACCCCUUCACACACCUGGCAGGAAGAUUCCAUUUGGGCACUUCACCCACUUUGCCAUGGAUCUUCAAGAUCCAAAGAAGAAGGUUCUUGAAAAAUCUGAAAUACAAUCAGGGUCUGAAUUAUAAAACCCUCUGAGUAAAGAUCUGGAAACAUCUGCAAACUGCCACACAUCUCUGUAGCACUGUUGGAAUGGUAAGAAAACCAGUGCUCGGAGGAGGAAAAUAUAAGCUCUCUCUUUAAAGCAGAUGAUCUUCUGCUCUCAACAAGGUAAGAUAAGGAUACAGGUUUUAAAAAACAGAAGAACAAACAAACGCCUAGUAAAUGUCACUGCGAUAUUUACUGAAGAGUUGUGUAAAUAUUAUUUAUCAUGCCAAAUGCACUUCCAAAGCAGAUGCCUUCUAUGAUCUGGUUACUCAGCCACAUCAAAAGAAAAUAGUUACAGUUUCAGCCUUCCAGGCAGCAUUACCAUUUACAGGUCUCCAUAAGGCCAGUUCAUCCCAACACCAGAAGAGUGACUCAGCUUGUUUAUGAUGCCCUUCAGCCUUAAUUCGGCUACACAGACACAUUUGUCCAUGACAAGGUUAGGAACUAGCCCUUGCAUGAGAUGUCCCAACCUACAGUUUUGGGCACAGACCUUUUUAAAUUGUUUGUUACCCCAGGAUCUCAUAUCAGAGCCACUCAGGUUCACUCAGGCUCUGAUUGCCAUCUCUGCCACUCAGGCAGUUCUCAGAGAGUUCAGAUUUUGGUUCAAGCCCCAGAAGUUUUGGUAUCCAAUGUAGAAGCUUGCCAACACAACCUGAAACUUCAAAGAAAUGUAAUUUACCUGAUAAAGAUAAGCCAGACAACCACCAGAUUCAUUUCAAUGCAAGUGAUACUUGUAGUCAAAAUCCCAUAUUUAUAUGUACUAUGUAUUCUAUUUGUAUGUUCAGAGCUUAGGACUAAAAAUGUCAGGCAGUGUAGCUCUUAGGACAGGGAUUUGUGCAACUGGUAUAUUUUUUUACAGGGCCCUGAAAGAUGCUGGGGAAAAACACUUCUCAGCAGAAAAUCCUAUUACUUCAGGGAAAUCUUCCGGGGAAACACUUGGAAAGGUACACAGAUCUACAACUUUCCUUCAGUAAAGCCUAAACAAUAUAUGACAAUCUGUGCCAAGCUGAUGCUAUAUGAAAGCGCUUCAAUAUUUUUCUUUUCAAGUAGAUUCAGCUAUCAAGUUUUAAACAAGUUGAGCAUUAAUCUACAUUUGUUUGAACACAUUGCCUCAGUGACAGAUGACCUUAGCUGUCAGAGUCCUGUUUCUCCUUUGCUGCACAGACAUUAUGUACAGUAGCUCUUAUUCCCCUUCCCUCCUGAGCAAGGGAAAGUUAGAAGGGAGAUUCCAUGGCACCUUCUGAGAACAGAGCUCUAACUACUGAGUACCAAACCCUCCAUAUUUUAAGUCCACAAUUUAAGUUAAAAAAAAAAAAAAA
Coturnix japonica (Japanese quail) is the source of this 2586-nucleotide non-coding RNA. NCBI's taxonomy places the organism in Eukaryota, Metazoa, Chordata, Aves, Galliformes, Phasianidae. The record is from RefSeq and is a predicted model, not a curated record.